CCUACGGGCGGCAGCAGUGAGGAAUAUUGGUCAAUGGACGAGAGUCUGAACCAGCCAAGUAGCGUGAAGGAUGACUGCCCUAUGGGUUGUAAACUUCUUUUAUAUGGGAAUAAAAUGUUCCACGUGUGGGAUUUUGUAUGUACCAUAUGAAUAAGGAUCGGCUAACUCCGUGCCAGCAGCCGCGGUAAUACGGAGGAUCCGAGCGUUAUCCGGAUUUAUUGGGGUUAAAGGGGCCGUAGGUGGAUUGUUAAGUCAGUUGUGAAAGCUUGCGGCUCAACCGUAAAAUUGCAGUUGAAACUGGCAGUCUUGAGUACAGUAGAGGUGGGCGGAAUUCGUGGUGUAGCGGUGAAAUGCUUAGAUAUCACGAAGAACUCCGAUUGCGAAGGCAGCUCACUGGACUGCAACUGAUACUGAGGCUCGAAAGUGUGGGUAUCGAACAGGAUUAGAUACCCGUGUAGUC
This 460-nucleotide ribosomal RNA is filed under the name uncultured bacterium. RNAcentral describes it as "partial 16S ribosomal RNA". It matches the Rfam family "Bacterial small subunit ribosomal RNA", at positions 338 to 795 of the family's 1533-position model. The record is from RNAcentral.